This 253-nucleotide ribosomal RNA is filed under the name uncultured bacterium. Its description in RNAcentral is "partial 16S ribosomal RNA". It matches the Rfam family "Bacterial small subunit ribosomal RNA", at positions 524 to 776 of the family's 1533-position model. The record is from RNAcentral.
UACAGAGGGGGCAAGCGUUAUUCGGAAUUACUGGGCGUAAAGGGCGUGUAGGCGGCCCGGUAAGUCCGCUGUGAAAGUCGGGGGCUCAACCCUCGAAAGCCGGUGGAUACUGUCGGGCUCGAGUGCGGAAGAGGCGAGUGGAAUUCCUGGUGUAGCGGUGAAAUGCGCAGAUAUCAGGAAGAACACCUAUGGCGAAGGCAGCUCUCUGGGACGGUACUGACGCUGAGACGCGAAAGCGUGGGGAGCGAACAGG